GAUGAACGCUGGCGGCGUGCUUAACACAUGCAAGUCGAACGGAAAGGCCCAAGCUUGCUUGGGUACUCGAGUGGUGAACGGGUGAGUAACACGUGGGUGAUCUGCCCUGCACUUCGGGAUAAGCCUGGGAAACUGGGUCUAAUACCGGAUAGGACGAUGGUUUGGAUGCCAUUGUGGAAAGUUUUUUCGGUGUGGGAUGAGCUCGCGGCCUAUCAGCUUGUUGGUGGGGUAAUGGCCUACCAAGGCGUCGACGGGUAGCCGGCCUGAGAGGGUGUACGGCCACAUUGGGACUGAGAUACGGCCCAGACUCCUACGGGAGGCAGCAGUGGGGAAUAUUGCACAAUGGGCGCAAGCCUGAUGCAGCGACGCCGCGUGGGGGAUGACGGCCUUCGGGUUGUAAACUCCUUUCGCUAGGGACGAAGCGUUUUUGUGACGGUACCUGGAGAAGAAGCACCGGCUAACUACGUG
This 468-nucleotide ribosomal RNA is filed under the name uncultured bacterium. RNAcentral's name for it is "partial 16S ribosomal RNA". It matches the Rfam family "Bacterial small subunit ribosomal RNA", at positions 28 to 507 of the family's 1533-position model. The record is from RNAcentral.